Molecule: ribosomal RNA, 301 nt
Filed under: uncultured bacterium
Lineage: Bacteria
Description: partial 16S ribosomal RNA
Rfam family: Bacterial small subunit ribosomal RNA
Source: RNAcentral
CAGUAGCCACGGGAAUACGGAGGGGGCUAGCGUUGUUCGGAAUUACUGGGCGUAAAGCGCACGUAGGCUGCUUUGUAAGUCAGAGGUGAAAGCCCGGGGCUCAACCCCGGAUGUGCCUUUGAGACUGCAGGGCUAGAACGUCGGAGAAGUGAGUGGAAUUCCGAGUGUAGAGGUGAAAUUCGUAGAUAUUCGGAAGAACACCAGUGGCGAAGGCGGCUCACUGGACGACUGUUGACGCUGAGGUGCGAAAGCGUGGGGAGCAAACAGGAUUAGAUACCCCCGUAGUCCCUGUCUCUUAUAC